Molecule: ribosomal RNA, 496 nt
Filed under: uncultured Bacteroides sp.
Lineage: Bacteria; Pseudomonadati; Bacteroidota; Bacteroidia; Bacteroidales; Bacteroidaceae
Description: bacterial SSU rRNA
Rfam family: Bacterial small subunit ribosomal RNA
Source: RNAcentral
GCCCGCUACAGAAACUCAAAUGAAUUGACGGGGCCCGGCACAAGACGGAGGAACAGUGUGGUUUAAUUCGAUGAUACGCGAGGAACCUUACCCGGGCUUGAAUUGCAGAGGAAUAUAGUUGAAAGAUUAUCGCCGCAAGGUCUCUGUGAAGGUGCUGCAUGGUUGUCGUCAGCUCGUGCCGUGAGGUGUCGGCUUAAGUGCCAUAACGAGCGCAACCCUUAUCAUUAGUUACUAACAGGUCAUGCUGAGGACUCUAGUGAGACUGCCGUCGUAAGAUGUGAGGAAGGUGGGGAUGACGUCAAAUCAGCACGGCCCUUACGUCCGGGGCUACACACGUGUUACAAUGGGGGGUACAGAGGGCAGCUACCGGGCGACCGGAUGCCAAUCCCAAAAACCUCUCUCAGUUCGGAUCGAAGUCUGCAACCCGACUUCGUGAAGCUGGAUUCGCUAGUAAUCGCGCAUCAGCCACGGCGCGGUGAGUACGUUCCCGGGCCUU